This is a long non-coding RNA of Pocillopora damicornis (cauliflower coral), 385 nucleotides long. RefSeq lists it as uncharacterized. Lineage: Eukaryota; Metazoa; Cnidaria; Anthozoa; Scleractinia; Pocilloporidae. The record is from RefSeq and is a predicted model, not a curated record.
UGAGCACUUUUCUGUUAAUCUUAGGUCUUGUGAUUACCUUUCAGUGCCUCACACACACCGAGGCAGAAACUGCUAAAUGGCCGUAUCAUAGACGUAGAAGUGGAAGAAAGAAUUUAAGAAACAAGCUGGAGGCCAAAGAUGAAGAAGCGGGCCGAGCCGAGUUAUAUAUAGGUCGAAGACUUUGUUAUGAUCCUGAAGCUUUCGAAUGUGAGACCGAGGACUAGUUCCUAUAUGCCCGAACCCAUAGUAUUAUCGCGAACUUCAAAUGUGGUCCAGUUGCUUUUCGGUAACGCACCUUUGAGUUAAUGUAAAUUAUGUUCACAGUUAGAUCUGCUGAAAACUGACACUGUGUAAGCAAAUAAAAUACAUGUGCACUUACACUUUA